This 56-nucleotide transfer RNA is filed under the name Mesorhizobium sp. M00.F.Ca.ET.186.01.1.1. Its description in RNAcentral is "tRNA-Asn". It matches the Rfam family "tRNA", at positions 8 to 61 of the family's 71-position model. Rfam says of the family: Transfer RNA (tRNA) molecules are approximately 80 nucleotides in length. Their secondary structure includes four short double-helical elements and three loops (D, anti-codon, and T loops). Further hydrogen bonds mediate the characteristic L-shaped molecular structure. tRNAs have two regions of fundamental functional importance: the anti-codon, which is responsible for specific mRNA codon recognition, and the 3' end, to which the tRNAs corresponding amino acid is attached (by aminoacyl-tRNA synthetases). tRNAs cope with the degeneracy of the genetic code in two manners: having more than one tRNA (with a specific anti-codon) for a particular amino acid; and 'wobble' base-pairing, i.e. permitting non-standard base-pairing at the 3rd anti-codon position. Lineage: Bacteria; Pseudomonadati; Pseudomonadota; Alphaproteobacteria; Hyphomicrobiales; Phyllobacteriaceae. The record is from RNAcentral.
UAGCUCAGUUGGUAGAGCAAUCGGCUGUUAACCGAUCGGUCGGCGGUUCGAGUCCG